UAGCCAAGUUUGGAAGGGAUAAACGCUGAAGGCAUCUAAGCGUGAAGCCCCCCUCAAGAUAAGAUAUCCCAUAGCACAAGCUAGUAAGACCCCUUAAAGACGAUAAGGUUGAUAGGUGGGAGGUGGAAGCGUAGUAAUACGUGCAGCUGACCCAUACUAAUAGGUCGAGGGCUUAACCAA
RNAcentral lists this ribosomal RNA (180 nucleotides) under Lachnospiraceae bacterium. RNAcentral describes it as "partial 23S ribosomal RNA". It matches the Rfam family "Bacterial large subunit ribosomal RNA", at positions 2746 to 2925 of the family's 2925-position model. Lineage: Bacteria; Bacillati; Bacillota; Clostridia; Lachnospirales; Lachnospiraceae. The record is from RNAcentral.